This 1490-nucleotide ribosomal RNA is filed under the name Limosilactobacillus reuteri. RNAcentral describes it as "Lactobacillus reuteri partial 16S ribosomal RNA". It matches the Rfam family "Bacterial small subunit ribosomal RNA". Lineage: Bacteria; Bacillati; Bacillota; Bacilli; Lactobacillales; Lactobacillaceae. The record is from RNAcentral.
UAUGGCUCAGGAUGAACGCCGGCGGUGUGCCUAAUACAUGCAAGUCGUACGCACUGGCCCAACUGAUUGAUGGUGCUUGCACCUGAUUGACGAUGGAUCACCAGUGAGUGGCGGACGGGUGAGUAACACGUAGGUAACCUGCCCCGGAGCGGGGGAUAACAUUUGGAAACAGAUGCUAAUACCGCAUAACAACAAAAGCCACAUGGCUUUUGUUUGAAAGAUGGCUUUGGCUAUCACUCUGGGAUGGACCUGCGGUGCAUUAGCUAGUUGGUAAGGUAACGGCUUACCAAGGCGAUGAUGCAUAGCCGAGUUGAGAGACUGAUCGGCCACAAUGGAACUGAGACACGGUCCAUACUCCUACGGGAGGCAGCAGUAGGGAAUCUUCCACAAUGGGCGCAAGCCUGAUGGAGCAACACCGCGUGAGUGAAGAAGGGUUUCGGCUCGUAAAGCUCUGUUGUUGGAGAAGAACGUGCGUGAGAGUAACUGUUCACGCAGUGACGGUAUCCAACCAGAAAGUCACGGCUAACUACGUGCCAGCAGCCGCGGUAAUACGUAGGUGGCAAGCGUUAUCCGGAUUUAUUGGGCGUAAAGCGAGCGCAGGCGGUUGCUUAGGUCUGAUGUGAAAGCCUUCGGCUUAACCGAAGAAGUGCAUCGGAAACCGGGCGACUUGAGUGCAGAAGAGGACAGUGGAACUCCAUGUGUAGCGGUGGAAUGCGUAGAUAUAUGGAAGAACACCAGUGGCGAAGGCGGCUGUCUGGUCUGCAACUGACGCUGAGGCUCGAAAGCAUGGGUAGCGAACAGGAUUAGAUACCCUGGUAGUCCAUGCCGUAAACGAUGAGUGCUAGGUGUUGGAGGGUUUCCGCCCUUCAGUGCCGGAGCUAACGCAUUAAGCACUCCGCCUGGGGAGUACGACCGCAAGGUUGAAACUCAAAGGAAUUGACGGGGGCCCGCACAAGCGGUGGAGCAUGUGGUUUAAUUCGAAGCUACGCGAAGAACCUUACCAGGUCUUGACAUCUUGCGCUAACCUUAGAGAUAAGGCGUUCCCUUCGGGGACGCAAUGACAGGUGGUGCAUGGUCGUCGUCAGCUCGUGUCGUGAGAUGUUGGGUUAAGUCCCGCAACGAGCGCAACCCUUGUUACUAGUUGCCAGCAUUAAGUUGGGCACUCUAGUGAGACUGCCGGUGACAAACCGGAGGAAGGUGGGGACGACGUCAGAUCAUCAUGCCCCUUAUGACCUGGGCUACACACGUGCUACAAUGGACGGUACAACGAGUCGCAAGCUCGCGAGAGUAAGCUAAUCUCUUAAAGCCGUUCUCAGUUCGGACUGUAGGCUGCAACUCGCCUACACGAAGUCGGAAUCGCUAGUAAUCGCGGAUCAGCAUGCCGCGGUGAAUACGUUCCCGGGCCUUGUACACACCGCCCGUCACACCAUGGGGAGUUUGUAACGCCCAAAGUCGGUGGCCUAACCUUUAUGGAGGGAGCCGCCUAAGGC